AAUGUCGUAACAAGGUUUCCGUAGGUGAACCUGCGGAAGGAUCAUUAAAUGAGUUAAGGGUCUCCGGCCCGAACCUCCAACCCUCUGUCGUUAUAACUACUUCGUCGCUUUGGGCGGGACCGCGAAAUGGUUCUCCCGGAGCGCGCCGGUCUUCGGACAGGCGAGCGCCCGCCAGAGUCCAAGCCAAAGCUCUUGUUUUGAAAGCCAGUCGUCUGAGUAUAAAAGUUUUCAAUUUCAAACUAAA
RNAcentral lists this unclassified non-coding RNA (244 nucleotides) under plant metagenome. Its description in RNAcentral is "partial contains small subunit ribosomal RNA and internal transcribed spacer 1". The stretch from base 1 to 47 matches the Rfam family "Eukaryotic small subunit ribosomal RNA", at positions 1785 to 1831 of the family's 1831-position model. The record is from RNAcentral.